Molecule: non-coding RNA, 54 nt
Organism: Salmo salar (Atlantic salmon)
Lineage: Eukaryota; Metazoa; Chordata; Actinopteri; Salmoniformes; Salmonidae
Source: Rfam
AAUGCACCAAUUUGUAAGUCGCUCUGGAUAACAGCGUCUGCUAAAUGUCUUAAA